RNAcentral lists this ribosomal RNA (446 nucleotides) under uncultured bacterium. RNAcentral's name for it is "partial 16S ribosomal RNA". It matches the Rfam family "Bacterial small subunit ribosomal RNA", at positions 338 to 795 of the family's 1533-position model. The record is from RNAcentral.
CCUACGGGAGGCAGCAGUCGAGAAUCAUUCACAAUGGGGGAAACCCUGAUGGUGCGACGCCGCGUGGGGGAAUGAAGGUCUUCGGAUUGUAAACCCCUGUCAUGUGGGAGCAAAUUAAAAAGAUAGUACCACAAGAGGAAGAGACGGCUAACUCUGUGCCAGCAGCCGCGGUAAUACAGAGGUCUCAAGCGUUGUUCGGAAUCACUGGGCGUAAAGCGUGCGUAGGCUGUUUCGUAAGUCGUGUGUGAAAGGCGCGGGCUCAACCCGCGGACGGCACAUGAUACUGCGAGACUAGAGUAAUGGAGGGGGAACCGGAAUUCUCGGUGUAGCAGUGAAAUGCGGAGAUAGCGAGAGGAACACUCGUGGCGAAGGCGGGUUCCUGGACAUUAACUGACGCUGAGGCACGAAGGCCAGGGGAGCGAAAGGGAUUAGAUACCCUAGUAGUC